GAUGAGCCAAGAUUGGUACCCUUUAAGGUACUAUUGAUUUUAAACUGAAGAGUUUGAUCAUGGCUCAGAUUGAACGCUGGCGGCAGGCUUAACACAUGCAAGUCGAGCGGAUGAAGGGAGCUUGCUCCUGGAUUCAGCGGCGGACGGGUGAGUAAUGCUUAGGAAUCUGCCUAUUAGUGGGGGACAACAUUUCGAAAGGGAUGCUAAUACCGCAUACGCCCUACGGGGGAAAGCAGGGGAUCUUCGGACCUUGCGCUAAUAGAUGAGCCUAAGUCAGAUUAGCUAGUUGGUGGGGUAAAGGCCUACCAAGGCGACGAUCUGUAGCGGGUCUGAGAGGAUGAUCCGCCACACUGGGACUGAGACACGGCCCAGACUCCUACGGGAGGCAGCAGUGGGGAAUAUUGGACAAUGGGGGGAACCCUGAUCCAGCCAUGCCGCGUGUGUGAAGAAGGCCUUUUGGUUGUAAAGCACUUUAAGCGAGGAGGAGGCUCUUCUAGUUAAUACCUAGGAUGAGUGGACGUUACUCGCAGAAUAAGCACCGGCUAACUCUGUGCCAGCAGCCGCGGUAAUACAGAGGGUGCGAGCGUUAAUCGGAUUUACUGGGCGUAAAGCGUACGUAGGCGGCUUUUUAAGUCGGAUGUGAAAUCCCUGAGCUUAACUUAGGAAUUGCAUUCGAUACUGGGAAGCUAGAGUAUGGGAGAGGAUGGUAGAAUUCCAGGUGUAGCGGUGAAAUGCGUAGAGAUCUGGAGGAAUACCGAUGGCGAAGGCAGCCAUCUGGCCUAAUACUGACGCUGAGGUACGAAAGCAUGGGGAGCAAACAGGAUUAGAUACCCUGGUAGUCCAUGCCGUAAACGAUGUCUACUAGCCGUUGGGGCCUUUGAGGCUUUAGUGGCGCAGCUAACGCGAUAAGUAGACCGCCUGGGGAGUACGGUCGCAAGACUAAAACUCAAAUGAAUUGACGGGGGCCCGCACAAGCGGUGGAGCAUGUGGUUUAAUUCGAUGCAACGCGAAGAACCUUACCUGGUCUUGACAUAGUAAGAACUUUCCAGAGAUGGAUUGGUGCCUUCGGGAACUUACAUACAGGUGCUGCAUGGCUGUCGUCAGCUCGUGUCGUGAGAUGUUGGGUUAAGUCCCGCAACGAGCGCAACCCUUUUCCUUAUUUGCCAGCGGUUCGGCCGGGAACUUUAAGGAUACUGCCAGUGACAAACUGGAGGAAGGCGGGGACGACGUCAAGUCAUCAUGGCCCUUACGACCAGGGCUACACACGUGCUACAAUGGUCGGUACAAAGGGUUGCUACCUCGCGAGAGGAUGCUAAUCUCAAAAAGCCGAUCGUAGUCCGGAUUGGAGUCUGCAACUCGACUCCAUGAAGUCGGAAUCGCUAGUAAUCGCGGAUCAGAAUGCCGCGGUGAAUACGUUCCCGGGCCUUGUACACACCGCCCGUCACACCAUGGGAGUUUGUUGCACCAGAAGUAGGUAGUCUAACCGUAAGGAGGACGCUUACCACGGUGUGGCCGACGACUGGGGUGAAGUCGUAACAAGGUAGCCGUAGGGGAACCUGCGGCUGGAUCACCUCCUUAA
This 1579-nucleotide ribosomal RNA is filed under the name Acinetobacter sp. WCHAc060007. Its description in RNAcentral is "bacterial SSU rRNA". It matches the Rfam family "Bacterial small subunit ribosomal RNA". RNAcentral also lists the same sequence under 1 other name. Lineage: Bacteria; Pseudomonadati; Pseudomonadota; Gammaproteobacteria; Moraxellales; Moraxellaceae. The record is from RNAcentral.